UGAGCUCUGCUCUCUGUGACAGCAACAGGGCCCAAGGGAACGGCAUGGAGCUGUCAGGGGAGGGGCAGCUGGGUGUUAGGGAAAGGGGCUGGACCAGAGAGUGGUUUCUGUGUGUUCACUGAUCACUUGGCACGUGGUACAGGAGGCUUUACAGAAGUUUAAUUAGAAGGUAAAUGAGAGAAGGGAAAAGUAAAAACUUCCUGAUUCUGACAUCAGCUGUCCCAAGAAGACUGAAGUAUUACAUCUGAACAAUGUGAUCUUCUGCCCUUUAGAGGCUUGAGUAGCUGAAAAAUAAAUGCACCAUGGUUUGAAAUGCAAAUCUAGACUCCCACACAGCUUUCACUGGCCUCACUGGAUUGAGAUAUGGGGCUUAAGCUUUUCCAGGGAAAAAUAGACAACUUUUGCUGUCCAGGUUAUAGGGUAUAAAGUACUGGCUACAGAGGCAGUAUCAUAAAAGUCUAUAGUUAAAUCUCCUGGGGACAAUCUAUAAGGUUUCUUAAAAAGAACAAGGAUUUUCACUUCAUCUUUCCUUGUAAUUUUUUUUCUCCUGCUGCUUAUCUCUGCUCCUGUAUUCUGUCUAUGCCACUUAGCUUAGGAAGGAAGGACAUCUGUCAAGUUUAUAAACAGACACAGAUAAUUCUGAAGUUUUUUCAACAUCUCCUAAUACUUUAUCCCCUCGUGCACACAACAUUCUUGGCUGCAGGCCAGGAAAAUCCAGAGUGUUUCCAGGGAGAUUUGAGCUCUGCAGAAUGUCAUAUAUUAGAGUAGGCUUGGGGGAAAAAAAAAGAAAGAAAAAAAAAUCAGUAUUUUUAUGUAACAUUUUAGGUGCAGGAACAGGCAAAUUGCCAUAAUAACACAUUCUGUGUCUCUGAAGGGAGACAAGUAAAAUAUUCAUUUGGCUUUUAAUGAGCUUCCUAUCCUUCGUCAUCAGCCUUCCAGUCAAGGAAAUCUGAUGCUGGUUCUAAGCUGUUCACCUCUGCUGCUGCUCAGAGAGAAGAGCAGGCUGCACUGGGUGCAGCUAGGGCUGUCUUGAGGCUAUCAUCCCUGAGCAGACAGCCUCGUCGCUUCAUUGCUUUGGAGAUACAGACCCAUGAUACUGUGUUGUGUUACAAAGGAGAAAAGAGGAAACCUGAGUAGGGCUGAACUGAGAAAGGAAGCUGCUUCUUGUUACUAAGAUUGGUUACUUGAGAUGAUAGAAAGAAUCUCACUUACUUUAGGAAGCCAACUACAUAGGUGGAAAUUAGGACGUGAAUUUUUGCUUCUCUGGGAGACUGUUAUAAACAGACAUCUUGGUAUCAUGAAGUUGGACUUCUGCAUUUCACUUAGACUGAUGCCUGAAAAUUAAAAAUCUUUUCUCAGUUUGUAUUCCUGUUCUUCUCCUUUUUUCUUCCCGUUAUUCCAAGUCUAUGGUAAAAAAUCUGUUUAGGCAGUCAAGAUGUGACUUGUGCAAUUGAAUCUCUGAAUAUGGAAACAUUUCACAAUUGUCUUUAUGGUUAACAGUUAAAGGAAUAACUAAUUCCACAUUAAAAAAAAAAAAAAAAAA
Non-coding RNA from Meleagris gallopavo (turkey), 1543 nucleotides. The record is from RefSeq and is a predicted model, not a curated record. NCBI's taxonomy places the organism in Eukaryota, Metazoa, Chordata, Aves, Galliformes, Phasianidae.